Firmicutes bacterium CAG:313 is the source of this 88-nucleotide transfer RNA. It matches the Rfam family "tRNA". From Rfam's summary of the family: Transfer RNA (tRNA) molecules are approximately 80 nucleotides in length. Their secondary structure includes four short double-helical elements and three loops (D, anti-codon, and T loops). Further hydrogen bonds mediate the characteristic L-shaped molecular structure. tRNAs have two regions of fundamental functional importance: the anti-codon, which is responsible for specific mRNA codon recognition, and the 3' end, to which the tRNAs corresponding amino acid is attached (by aminoacyl-tRNA synthetases). tRNAs cope with the degeneracy of the genetic code in two manners: having more than one tRNA (with a specific anti-codon) for a particular amino acid; and 'wobble' base-pairing, i.e. permitting non-standard base-pairing at the 3rd anti-codon position. NCBI's taxonomy places the organism in Bacteria, Bacillati, Bacillota. The record is from Rfam.
GGAGUAGUACUCAAGAGGCUGAAGAGGCGCCCCUGCUAAGGGUGUAGGUCGGGAAACUGGCGCAAGGGUUCAAAUCCCUUCUACUCCG